This is a long non-coding RNA of Acanthochromis polyacanthus (spiny chromis), 588 nucleotides long. RefSeq lists it as uncharacterized. The record is from RefSeq and is a predicted model, not a curated record. Lineage: Eukaryota; Metazoa; Chordata; Actinopteri; Pomacentridae. The transcript has 5 exons.
ACACACGCGCACACACACACACACGCGCACACACACACACACACACACACACACACACACACACACACACACACACGCGCACACACACACACACACACACACACACACACACACACACACACACACACGCGCACACACACACACACACACGGUCAUCAGUAGGUGAAAGAAAGUUUACAGAUGUUCCCUAAACGCCUCACAGUUUACAGAGGUUCCCUAAACGCCUCACAGUUUACAGAGGUUCCCUAAACGCCUCACAGUUUACAGAGGUUCCCUAAACGCCUCACAGUUUACAGAGGUUCCCUAAACGCCUCACAGUUUACAGAGGUUCCCUAAACGCCUCACAGUUUACAGAGGUUCCCUAAACGCCUCACAGUUUACAGAGGUUCCCUAAACGCCUCACAGUUUACAGAGGUUCCCUAAACGCCUCACAGUUUACAGAGGUUCCCUAAACGCCUCACAGUUUACAGAUGUUCCCUAAACGCCUCACAGUUUACAGAGGUUCCCUAAACGCCUCACAGUUUACAGAGGUUCCCUAAACGCCUCACAGUUUACAGAGGUUCCCUAAACGCCUCACAGUUUACAGAG